RNAcentral lists this ribosomal RNA (463 nucleotides) under uncultured bacterium. RNAcentral's name for it is "bacterial SSU rRNA". It matches the Rfam family "Bacterial small subunit ribosomal RNA", at positions 335 to 795 of the family's 1533-position model. The record is from RNAcentral.
ACUCCUACGGGAGGCAGCAGUGAGGAAUAUUGGUCAAUGGGCGGAAGCCUGAACCAGCCAUCCCGCGUGCAGGAAGAAUGCGCUAUGCGUUGUAAACUGCUUUUCCAGGGGGCGAACGUUCCGUACGUGUACGGGAGUGACGGUACCUUGGGAAUAAGCAUCGGCUAACUCCGUGCCAGCAGCCGCGGUAAUACGGAGGAUGCGAGCGUUAUCCGGAUUUAUUGGGUUUAAAGGGUGCGUAGGCGGAUUAAUAAGUCAGUGGUGAAAACCUGCAGCUUAACUGUGGAACUGCCGUUGAUACUGUUAGUCUUGAGUAUGGUCAAGGUAGGCGGAAUGUGUAAUGUAGCGGUGAAAUGCUUAGAUAUUACACAGAACACCGAUUGCGAAGGCAGCUUACUGGGCCAUAACUGACGCUGAUGCACGAAAGCGUGGGGAUCGAACAGGAUUAGAUACCCUGGUAGUC